Schistosoma margrebowiei is the source of this 45-nucleotide non-coding RNA. The record is from Rfam. NCBI's taxonomy places the organism in Eukaryota, Metazoa, Platyhelminthes, Trematoda, Strigeidida, Schistosomatidae.
AUCCAUUUGAAGAGUGCUAAAUAGAACGAAACGCAUGUCCUGCAU